This 251-nucleotide ribosomal RNA is filed under the name uncultured prokaryote. RNAcentral's name for it is "partial 16S ribosomal RNA". It matches the Rfam family "Bacterial small subunit ribosomal RNA", at positions 525 to 775 of the family's 1533-position model. The record is from RNAcentral.
ACGUAGGGUGCGAGCGUUAAUCGGAAUUACUGGGCGUAAAGCGUGCGCAGGCGGUUGUGCAAGACAGAUGUGAAAUCCCCGGGCUCAACCUGGGAACUGCAUUUGUGACUGCACGACUGGAGUGCGGCAGAGGGGGAUGGAAUUCCGCGUGUAGCAGUGAAAUGCGUAGAGAUCCGGAGGAACACCAGAGGCGAAGGCGACACCCUGGGCCGUACCUGACGCUAAGACGCGACAGCACGGGGAGCGAACGG